Canis lupus familiaris (dog) is the source of this 777-nucleotide long non-coding RNA. RefSeq lists it as uncharacterized. The transcript is spliced from 3 exons. NCBI's taxonomy places the organism in Eukaryota, Metazoa, Chordata, Mammalia, Carnivora, Canidae. The record is from RefSeq and is a predicted model, not a curated record.
UGCACCCCGGCAGAAAGGAACGCUGUGGAGGAAGAAAGCUGCUGUGCUCCUGGCCGGGCUCAGCUGGGCUCACACCAGGGCCUCUGCCGCCCAGAGGCUCCUGUUUGGGGCCGCGGCCAGAGCCACCCUCGCAAACACGGCGGGAGCGCCCGGCCAGGACAGUCCACGCGGCCAGGCCCGGGGACCCGAAGGCGCUCCCGGGCGUCCUGUGUGUCUUUCCUUCUCGGGACCAAGGCACUGGCUUCAGCCCACUCAAAACUCAGUAGGGUCUUCUUGUCACCGCCCCCUAAGAGAAGGUGACUGACUCACUCCAACGACGGGAGCAGAGGAGGCCCUGCACGCUGGCGACUAGACUUAAACUUGCAUCAGAUGCCUUUAAGCAAGACAAGAGGAUCCAGUUCUUAAUCACAGGAUGACAGAUUAAGAAAGAGUUGAGAUCCAAAGGGGCCAGGAGAGGAGAGGGAGAAGGGAAGGCUUCAAGUCACGCUGACUGUGAGACCUGUCCCCCGUUCUACUAACCAGACAGAAGCUCUCAAAAAUUCACCUAUUUUGAAACUGUCAAUUCUGUCCUGUCCUCAGGCUCAAGGGGACAUGCAGCUUCUACCUGCUGUAACCCAGUCUCAGCCAUGACCUCCCCCAUGUCUUUGCUGAGCGUGCUGGGAGGGCCACACACAGCUCUGCCCUGCGUCUCUGGAAUGUAUAAGAACAAGGGUGUGUUGCAUCAUUACCACUUCCAGAGGUUCCUUAAAUAAAAUAGCUCCAAAUGGGGGUGCCUGA